This is a long non-coding RNA of Taeniopygia guttata (zebra finch), 3944 nucleotides long. Lineage: Eukaryota; Metazoa; Chordata; Aves; Passeriformes; Estrildidae. The record is from Ensembl.
GUCUGAUUGUGUUUUUAACCCCUCAUUGCAAAAUAAGAACAAAGGCAUUAAAUAACAUAGCAGAUGUGAUGGCAAAUUUUUAUGUCAUAACCAAUAACAGAAUAUAACCAAGUAAAAUGCAUAGAAGAGCUGCUUGUAACUGAUGAAGAGUACAAUCUAGAACAUCCAUUGAUGUUAUAGCAUAGAGAAAAUAUGCUCCAUUGUUGGAAAUAGAGGUCACUGAAGUAAUAAUUUCAAAUGAGCUAAUCUAUGUCUUAAAACCUGUGGGAUCUGCCAUGCUUCAUUGAUGCCAAGGUCAAAGAUAAGGGCUAUGCACAGCAGGUACAAAUUACUGCAGCCAUUCAUUGGAGUGAUUUCUGAAUUACUACUACCAUCAGUGUGGGAUAGGUCAAAACAAUUAUAAUUUUGAGCCCCUCAGAGAGCUGUUAUAUUACUAAAUAUGUCUUAUAUAUCUAAGUGCCAGACUCAAAAGCACACUUAAGACAGAGGAAAAACAAGCAAGGAAUACGAAUCAGUGAAUUAGUGGUUAAAUCUUUAAGAUGGUAAGGCUGAGUCUCACAUACAGGUCAAACUUCCAAAGUCAUUACUGUUUCUUGCUUCUCAUCCACUGCUAAUAUGAAAUAUAUCCCAAGGAGAGGAUCAGGGCUCCUUGUUGCCUGCUUCCUCCUCCUGUUAUCACUGCUACUCACUUUUAACUCUCUUGAACAGGAUCUGCAGUUGGGAGUAAAGAUGUCUGACUCCAGAAACUUCUUGAGGCUUGCUGUAGGCCCCUGCGCACUCUUCUCUUCUUUACCCAGGGACCCCAACAAGAAGGAUGAAAUAUGCCCAUCUUCCUGUAAAAAGCCUACAUGCUUCCACUCCAGGAAAGCAAGGAAAGCAACUGAGUUGAAGCUACAAAACCACAGCUGCAGUACUUUUGAAAUUACUUAUCUGAGAGCUGCUGAUUGGAGAUAAUCCUUGGACUGAAGUAGGUGAGAGGGUGGAAUAGAAGACACAUUCAAAGAGAUUCAACAGAAAUAGUCCUGUCACAUCUGCCUCAUUAUCGUCUUUACUUCUGAAGCAUCUGAUGUCAGAUUUAUAUUCUAGGUGGAGAGUCUCAGUGUUAAAUUAAAUGGAAUUUUAGUGAACAUCAUAACAGAAUCAAUGUCUAUGUCACUUGUUAUAGUAAUCAGCUUUACAUAAGUAACUGCCAACAGUUUUGUGUUAACUGUGAGUUUGUCAGUCUUUCAUUCAAACAAAAGCAAUUAGCUGUUUGCAUGUAUUCUGUUUGCUGACAUGAUAAUGAUUCAUACCAUUGAUGUUAAUGAAACCUGCAUUGUAAAAAUAAUUUGUUGGAAGACUCUCAGCUGUCAUCCCACCAUUUCCAUAAAUCUUGUGCAGUUUGUGCCAUCAUGAACAUAAUGAUCUCAGGUACAUGCAAUAAAAUGAAUUGCGCAAAAAAAUCCCAACCUAGAUUAUAAGCACAGUUUUUACAACCCUAGGUUGUACUACUAUAUUCCUUGAUGAGCUGUAGGGUUCAGGCACUGAAUCAGGUCUCAGUGAUGCUUUUGCUGUGUUAGCAACCAUGCGAAAUAUCUGAAUCUUCAUCCAUUUUUUUUCUGUUUAAUUGACAUCUGAUCGGUGAAUCUUAGAAUGGUUUGGAUUUCAAGAGAUGUGUGAAGUCAUCUAUGUGCCACAGGCAUGGACACAUUGCACAUAUGUGAGAGGCAGAUUCUGCACAGCUGGGCUCAGACAUUCAGUGUGAUCUGGAGCUGCCCCUGUCCCAGUCUCCCCAUCUGGUGACACACAGACACGACAUGCAGGCUCCCGAGGCUGCAGCCCUGCUCCAGUCGCUGGUACCGACCAUCACGCUGGUCAUGACUUCCUAGGUAAGCAGGAAGAAGUAAGGAAGAAAGAAGGACAGUACAUGGCAAUAAAGUGAGGGUGAAGAAAGCAGCUGAAACACUAGCAUAAUUUGAAAUUUUUUACAAGAAAAAGUUGUAAUUUGACAAGAUAGCAAGGUUUUCCUGGCUGUUGUGAUAGAGUGGUUGAUGUGUAGGGCUGGAAAAUUGAGAUCACUAGGAGUGAGCAGCAGAAGCAUCAGAGUCACCACAGUGUUUUUUCUAUACCAUGCUAUGUAAUACAACAAUGUGGAAAGUACUUCUGGAAAAUACUUUUGGUAAAUCACUAGAAAAGCCUAAAGAUGACCACAAUCCUGAGAAAAGACAAGUCCAGUGUCACUGGGGGAAAUCAUGUCUUGAAUUUUAGCUUCUAUAUUUUUCAGAUUCUGUGCUGUUUUGGUGUGUAGCUCUGAGUUUCAUAUUAAGAGAUGUUAAGCUCUCUUCACAGAGUAGGAAGACAAAACAACUCCUUCCCUAGUUGGGGACCAAGGACAAUCAAUCCAAAUUUCAGGCCCAGGAGCGUGGACAGCAGUGGACUGAAGAGAGAAAAACAAGAAGGAUGGGACUUCAUGGGCUAAAGCUGUAACUGGACAAUUAACUACAAUGUGCAAAUGGACCAAAACUUAUAAAUGUGUGAGACCUCGUGAUUGGCCUCCCAUUUUGUGACCAUUUUGGGUUCAUCUUGGUUGUAGCCCUGGCUGGGCUCUUGUGCUGCUCAAGGUGUAUCCAUUGAAGCCUUUUAAUAAAUACUUACUUUAUUCUUUAACUCAGUCCAGCCUCUGAUCUACGUCAGUUCCACACAGACAAGUGGCCCUGAUGGCUGAUCUAGAAGACUAAGUCCACCGAAUCAUUAAUUUUUUUACAGUCAUAUCUGAAAAGUCAAAAUGUCCAUGGGGAAGAAAAUACCAACCUACUUAGAAGUAUGGUAAUUUUCUUCUAAUAUAAAAAAAAGCAAGAUAUUAAAAUUUGUCAGAAGAAGGCAAACAAUCUGAAAAUCUAGGACAAAAUUUCAUUAUUUGGCAAAAAGGUCUUUUACAACUGUCCCUGUCUGCAUGACCCACAUAUGGGGUAGGUGUAGCAAAUAAAAUGUUUUCCAAAGAAUGCAACUUUUGUAAUUUUGAAAUUGCUACAUUAUAUUAGUUACUAUUGUUUAUGUAGGAUCUUAAAUACUAUUUAUCAAAGUUUUUAUCCCUUAGAUAAGCACUGGUUACAUAGAUGCAUAGUUUUGUGUAAAGCAUAACACUGUACUGAAUACAUUUUUGGGAUAAUUUUGCCAGCACCCUUUUGUUUUAGCAAUGUUUGCUUUUCUGUAUGUUCAUUUUUUUCAAGGGCCAUUACUCUUGGCUACAUCGGCCCAGAAGCUUAUCUUGAUAGGUAUAUUAGAACUGUGUAUUAAGCAUAAUUCAGGCCUGCAAUAUUAGUUUUGUUUUCUUCUUUCUUUCUGUUUUCUUUUUCUAUUGCUUACAGAAAUAACAACUAAAGUAUCAGUUUCUUGCUUUCAAAGGUAUUCAGAAUUAAAUUUUUAAAUGAAAAGAGACCUAAAACCAAAAUGAAUUUAUUAUGAAUAUUUUACUCAUGCCAAAUAUACCUGUGGGAUAAAUGAAUAGUUCAGAUUGGGUGUGGAUAAAUGGCAGGUGGAGUUAAUCAGAAGCAAAUGGAAAGUUCUUAAGCAUUUGGAGUUCCCCAGUCCAGGCACAAGUCUCCAAUGGAAUUUCAAGAAUUCACAUAUCUGCUUGCUAGUUAGCUUUGAGAAAUUACACUUGAGCAUCUGUAGAACCUACUUCCAGUCAAGAAAACUUCUGUUUGUGUCCAUAAUCUAACCCUGAAGGAAACCAAUUUGGGAUUAAGCAAAAAUAGGGAGCUUCUGGGGAAGCAGAAUGUAUUCAUGCAUACUACACAGUUAAAGACUUGUGGAGACUGCAAGUAAAUUAUGGUGAACCAGAAAACCGCAAGGCAUAAUGACUUAUAACCAAAUUGUAUUUAAAACCUCAGGUACUUUUGAGAAAAAAUGAGAGUGUUACCACACAGUUGUAUAAUUUCCAUUGUAUGAGUGUAAAGAUUGAG